GACGAACGCUGGCGGCGUGCUUAACACAUGCAAGUCGAACGGAAAGGCCUGCUUUCCCUUGUGGAUUGCGGGUACUCGAGUGGCGAACGGGUGAGUAACACGUGAGUGAUCUGCCCCCAACUUGGGUAUAAGCCUGGGAAACUGGGUCUAAUUCCCGAUAGGACUGCAGGGUGGUGCCUGUGGUGGAAAACGAUUUUCUAGUGGUUGGGGAUGAGCUCGCGGCCUAUCAGCUUGUUGGUGGGGGAAUGGCCUACCAAGGCGGCGACGGGUAGCCGGCCUGAGAGGGUGGACGGCCACAUUGGGACUGGGAUACGGCCCAGACUCCUACGGGAGGCAGCAGUGGGGAAUAUUGCACAAUGGGCGGAAGCCUGAUGCAGCGACGCCGCGUGGGGGAUGACGGCCUUCGGGUUGUAAACUCCUUUCGACCGCGAGGAAGCCACCUGGUUGGAAGGGUGGUGACGGUAGUGGUAGAAGAAGCACCGGCUAACUACGUG
Molecule: ribosomal RNA, 494 nt
Filed under: uncultured bacterium
Lineage: Bacteria
Description: partial 16S ribosomal RNA
Rfam family: Bacterial small subunit ribosomal RNA
Source: RNAcentral